GUGAUUGGAAGUCAGAGCUUACAUUUAAACAAAUAGAUGUAAGUAACUACUAGCUAACUCCGCGCAUCUCUUUAUUCUAGUUUCAAUACCAUUAUCAUUCUUGAUUAUGUUUUUGAUUGAACUCUAUUCUCGUAAAGUGCUUGAGGCAGGAACAGGGGAACAAUUUAUGUGGAUACUAUGUUUGCGAGUUCAUUCGCUAGACGACCCAUCAGACGGGCAAAAAAAUUGAAGUACGAUAAACAAUACUCACAACUUUAUUUUAUUACCGUCAAUUGUGUUUGUUUUCAUUGAUAUAUAUAUCGACCCCUCUUUAAAUUAGAUCGAACGGGCAGAACGGUCUUCUACCACAGGAACGUGUACGAGCAAUUCAAGAGGAAAUUGCCGGAUUCUUAGAUGUAGAGCUCCUAGAUGUCAAGGGAGAAUAUUAUUGCCCGUCGAUGCAAUUCAAAUGAAAUGAUAUAGUGUAAAAGAGAUGCAUAUGUGCAUGUGUAACCCGUGUCUACAUUUUGUAAAUAUGUUCGACAAAGCACGACGGAUGAGGUGGUGUAAUAUAUUCGUGACGAUGAUGUGCAAUAUAGUUGUUCCUUUAUUGCUG
Molecule: long non-coding RNA, 595 nt
Filed under: Hordeum vulgare
Lineage: Eukaryota; Viridiplantae; Streptophyta; Magnoliopsida; Poales; Poaceae
Description: long non-coding RNA (HVUL_LNC010608)
Source: RNAcentral